RNAcentral lists this long non-coding RNA (1703 nucleotides) under Ornithorhynchus anatinus (platypus). RNAcentral describes it as "lncRNA (ENSOANG00000040899.1)". The record is from RNAcentral. Lineage: Eukaryota; Metazoa; Chordata; Mammalia; Monotremata; Ornithorhynchidae.
CUCCGGGCCCGCCCCCGCCCGGAGCCCCGCCGGCAAUGGCGCCCGCCGCCUCCCGGAGGUGAUGCCAGGCGAUGCCAGGCGAUGCCAGGCGAUGCCCGCCGGUCCCUUCCCGGUCCCGGCGCCUAUCACAGCAAAGCCGUCAGUCCCUCGCCCACCGCCCCCCUCUCCUCCUCGCCCGCAGAAAGGGGUGGGCACUGCCCCUGCCCCACCGGAGGAGGAGGAGGAAGAAAGGAGGAGGAGGGAGAGGGGCUUGGGGGCCACUAGGACCCCGGCCUCCUCCCGGUGAAGCCCAAGGAUGCUCCCCCUCCGAGCUUCGCUGGCAAGGCUGCGAGAAUGAGGAGAAUAUGGCUACCCCUAUGGGACUGGAAGAUCGAUGCCGAAUUUUGUCAUCUAGUAACCAAGCAGAGAUCACCCUGCUGUCGGCUCUCUACGUGUCCACUGACCAUUCAUUCAUUUAAUCGUAUUUAUUGAGUGCUUACUGUGUGCAGAGUACUGUAUUAAGCGUUUGGGAGAGUAUGUUUCAAUAAUAAACAGUCACAUUCCUUGCCCACGACGAGUUUAGAGUCUAGAGUUGGGCAGAUGGACACCAAUACAAAUAAAUAAAAUAAAAUUACAAAUAUAUACCUAAGUGCUGUGGGGCUGGGAGAGGGGAAGAGCAAAGGGAGCAAGUCAGGGUGAGGCAGAAAGACGUGGGAGAUGAGGAAAAGUGGGGCUUAGUCUGGGAAGGCCUCUUGGCAGAGAUGGGCCUUCAAAAGGCUUUGAAGUUGCGGGGGAGAGUAAUCAUUUGUCGGAUUUGAGGGAGGGCAGAGGCAAGACGUGAGCUAGGGGUCGGCCGAUGGGAGUUUCUUGCAGGAAAACACUCAGCUCUUUCCAGUAUAAUCCCACCAAUCAAUCAUUGGUUUUUAUAGAGCAUUUACUAUGAACAGAGCACCGUACUAAGCAUUUGGAAACUGCAAGGCACGUCCCCUCCAAGAGGCCUUGCUAAGGCCCCCUUUCCUCUUCUCCCACUCCCUUCUGCGUCGCCCUGACUUGCUCCCUUUAUUCAUUCCCCCCCCCCCCCAGCCCCACAGCACUUAUGUACGUAUCCAUAAUUUAUUCAUAUUAAUGUCAGACUCCCCCUCUAGACUGUAAACUCAUUGUGGGCAGGGAAUGAAUCUGUUUAUUGUACUCCCUCAAGAGCUUAGUACAGUGCUCAGCACAUAGUAAGCGCUCAAUAGACAAGAUUGACUAACCGAUAGUCAACCGAAAGCCCCUCUAGACUGUAAGCUUCUGUGCACAGGGAACAUAUCUAUCAACUCUGUAAUAUUGUACUCUCCCAGGUGCUUAGUACAAUGCUCUGUAUUCAGUAAGCUCGCACUAAAUAUGAUUAAUUGGUUGAUUGAUUGAUUGAUUGAAAUGGUACCUCUAAAGAGGCUUCGUGGAUAGAGCACGGGUCUGGGAGUCAGAAGGUCAUGGGUUCUAAUCCUCGUUCCUCCACUUGUCUGCUGGGUGACCUUGGGCAAGUCGCUUCACUUCCCUAUGCCUCGAUUACCUCAUCUGUAAAAUGGGGAUUGAGACUGGGAGCGCCACGUCGGACAGGGACCGUGUCCAACCCGAUUUGCCCGUAUCCACCCCAGCGCCUGGUACGGUGCCUGGCACACACUCAGCACUUCACAAAUACCACAGUUAUCAUUUUCUCGGUCCAGCUCUGGUUGGUCUAAACA